AGUUAAAAAGCUCGUAGUUGGAUUUCUGGCCGGUGUGAUGAGUAGGCUCAUUGUAGCUUUACGAGUCGCGCUGACCAUCCUGGGAAAUCGCGGUCUGGGCCUUAAUUGAUUCAGUCUUGCAGUUCCCUCGUUUACUUUGAGAAAAUUAGAGUGUUCAAAGUAGGCUUACGCUUGAAUACAUUAGCAUGGAAUAAUAUUAUAGGACUCAGGUCCUAUUUUGUUGGUUCCUAGGACAAGAGUAAUGAUUGAUAGGGACGGUUGGGGGCAUCAGUAUUUCAAAGCGAGAGGUGAAAUUCUUGGACCUUUGGAAGACUAACAACUGCGAAAGCAUUUGCCUAGGACGUUCUCUUUAAUCAAGAACGAAAGUUAAGGGAUCGAAGACGAUCAGAUACCGUCGUAGUCUUAACUAUAAACUAUGCCAGCUAGGGAUCGGUGGAUGUUAUUUUAUGACUCCAUCAGCAUCUUAUGAGAAAUCAAAGUCUUUGGGUUCCGGGGGGAGUAUGGUCGCAAGGCUGGAACUAAGGAAUUGACGGAAGGG
Molecule: ribosomal RNA, 538 nt
Filed under: uncultured marine eukaryote
Lineage: Eukaryota
Description: bacterial SSU rRNA
Rfam family: Eukaryotic small subunit ribosomal RNA
Source: RNAcentral